RNAcentral lists this ribosomal RNA (468 nucleotides) under uncultured bacterium. RNAcentral's name for it is "partial 16S ribosomal RNA". It matches the Rfam family "Bacterial small subunit ribosomal RNA", at positions 28 to 507 of the family's 1533-position model. The record is from RNAcentral.
GACGAACGCUGGCGGCGUGCUUAACACAUGCAAGUCGAACGGAAAGGCCCUGCUUUUGUGGGGUGCUCGAGUGGCGAACGGGUGAGUAACACGUGAGUAACCUGCCCUUGAUUUUGGGAUAACUUCAGGAAACUGGGGCUAAUACCGGAUAGGAGCUCCUGCUGCAUGGUGGGGGUUGGAAAGUUUCGGCGGUUGGGGAUGGACUCGCGGCUUAUCAGCUUGUUGGUGGGGUAGUGGCUUACCAAGGCUUUGACGGGUAGCCGGCCUGAGAGGGUGACCGGCCACAUUGGGACUGAGAUACGGCCCAGACCCCUACGGGAGGCAGCAGUGGGGAAUAUUGCACAAUGGGCGGAAGCCUGAUGCAGCAACGCCGCGUGCGGGAUGACGGCCUUCGGGUUGUAAACCGCUUUCGCCUGUGACGAAGCGUGAGUGACGGUAAUGGGUAAAGAAGCACCGGCUAACUACGUG